This 332-nucleotide ribosomal RNA is filed under the name uncultured Bacillota bacterium. Its description in RNAcentral is "bacterial SSU rRNA". It matches the Rfam family "Bacterial small subunit ribosomal RNA", at positions 28 to 351 of the family's 1533-position model. The record is from RNAcentral. Lineage: Bacteria; Bacillati; Bacillota.
GACGAACGCUGGCGGCGUGCCUAACACAUGCAAGUCGAGCGGAGGCGCCCAAAGAGCAAUCAGAGGGCGUCUGAGCGGCGGACGGGUGAGUAACGCGUGAGCGACCUGCCUCGGACAGGGGGAUAACGCAGCGAAAGCUGCACUAAUACCGCAUAAGACCACAACGUCGCAUGACGGAGGGGUCAAAGGAGAGAUCCGGUACGAGAUGGGCUCGCGUCCGAUUAGGUAGUUGGUGAGGUAACGGCCCACCAAGCCGACGAUCGGUAGCCGACCUGAGAGGGUGAACGGCCACAUUGGAACUGAGAGACGGUCCAAACUCCUACGGGUGGCAG